Molecule: ribosomal RNA, 639 nt
Filed under: uncultured Actinomycetes bacterium
Lineage: Bacteria; Bacillati; Actinomycetota; Actinomycetes
Description: bacterial SSU rRNA
Rfam family: Bacterial small subunit ribosomal RNA
Source: RNAcentral
CGCGGCCUAUCAGCUUGUUGGUGAGGUAACGGCUCACCAAGGCAUCGACGGGUAGCUGGUCUGAGAGGACGAUCAGCCACACUGGGACUGAGACACGGCCCAGACUCCUACGGGAGGCAGCAGUAGGGAAUCUUGCGCAAUGGGCGAAAGCCUGACGCAGCGACGCCGCGUGGGGGAUGAAUGCCUUCGGGUUGUAAACCCCUUUCAGCAGGGACGAAAAUGACGGUACCUGCAGAAGAAGCUCCGGCCAACUACGUGCCAGCAGCCGCGGUAAUACGUAGGGAGCGAGCGUUGUCCGGAAUUAUUGGGCGUAAAGAGCUCGUAGGCGGUUCAGUAAGUCGGGUGUGAAAACUCAAGGCUCAACCUUGAGACGCCACUCGAUACUGCUGUGACUUGAGUCCGGUAGAGGAGUGUGGAAUUCCUGGUGUAGCGGUGAAAUGCGCAGAUAUCAGGAGGAACACCAGCGGCGAAGGCGGCACUCUGGGCCGGUACUGACGCUGAGGAGCGAAAACAUGGGGAGCAAACAGGAUUAGAUACCCUGGUAGUCCAUGCCGUAAACGUUGGGCACUAGGUAUGGGAUCAUAUCAACGGAUUCCGUGCCGUAGCUAACGCAUUAAGUGCCCCGCCUGGGGAGUACGG